RNAcentral lists this transfer RNA (65 nucleotides) under Haematopinus tuberculatus. Its description in RNAcentral is "tRNA-Arg". Lineage: Eukaryota; Metazoa; Arthropoda; Insecta; Psocodea; Haematopinidae. The record is from RNAcentral.
AAAUGUUAACCACAUAGUGGACUUAAUUUCGGCUUAAGACUUUGCUAUUAGCGUAGCAACAUUUA